This is a long non-coding RNA of Lepus europaeus (European hare), 180 nucleotides long. RefSeq lists it as uncharacterized. NCBI's taxonomy places the organism in Eukaryota, Metazoa, Chordata, Mammalia, Lagomorpha, Leporidae. The record is from RefSeq and is a predicted model, not a curated record. The transcript has 3 exons.
CCUGUUCCUGUUGGAACCUCACGUCUGGUCUCAACUUCAAAGCCAAGACCAGCGAAGAACACUGCUUCAUUGUUUUUCCAGUUUUCAUAUUGAGAGAGCUCUGAGGAGGCUCAUUUCUGACCUGAGAAGCCACCGGAGCAUCUCUGGGGAGAGGUAGGAGAGGCAGAGACAAGGCCGGAC